UACGAAGGGUGCAAGCGUUACUCGGAAUUACUGGGCGUAAAGCGUGCGUAGGUGGUUCGUUAAGUCUGUCGUGAAAGCCCCGGGCUCAACCUGGGAAUGGCGAUGGAUACUGGCGGGCUAGAGUGCGGUAGAGGGUGGUGGAAUUCCCGGUGUAGCAGUGAAAUGCGUAGAGAUCGGGAGGAACAUCAGUUGCGAAGGCGGCCACCUGGACCAGCACUGACACUGGGGCACGAAAGCGUGGGGAGCAAACAGG
Molecule: ribosomal RNA, 253 nt
Filed under: uncultured bacterium
Lineage: Bacteria
Description: partial 16S ribosomal RNA
Rfam family: Bacterial small subunit ribosomal RNA
Source: RNAcentral